UUGAGCUGAGUGCAGGGAAACUUGCACGCUCAGUUCUUAGGGGGGGACAUGGCCGUGAGGCCACGUCCCUACCCGAC
This 77-nucleotide non-coding RNA is filed under the name Modicisalibacter xianhensis. Lineage: Bacteria; Pseudomonadati; Pseudomonadota; Gammaproteobacteria; Oceanospirillales; Halomonadaceae. The record is from RNAcentral.